AGUUUUUGUGAUUCUGAUUUUAAAAUCUCCGUUUUUAGCGCUGGAUUGAGCCUCCGAAGCUUCGCGCGUGUGAUUGAGUGUGCGCAUGCGCGCGUGGCCGCCAAAAAAUUGUGGCCCCCAUCCCCUCCAUGUUUUGAUAUUUUGUUUACAGAUACAGCAUGGAAACAGGCCCUUCGGCCCAGCGAAUCCACACCGACCAGCAAUUCCCGCACAUUCACACUACCCUGCAUACAUCAGGGACAGUUUUACAUGGUUUUACAUUUAUACCAAGCCAAUUAACCUACAAGCCUGCACGUCUUUAGAGCAUGGAAUGAAACCGAAGAUCUCGGAGAAAACCCGCGCAGGUCACAGGGAGAACGUACAGUUUCCGUACUAACAGCACCCGUAGCCAGGAUCAAACCCGGGUCUCUGGCGCUGUAAGGCAGAAGCGUUGGUGAUCCAGUGUAAUAUAUCAAAGGUACACAAAAUUGCUGGAGUAACUCAGCGGGUGCAGCAGCAUCUAUGGAGCGAAGGAAAUAAGCGACGUUUCGGGCCGAAACCCUUCUUCAGUGUAAUAUAUCAAUGUG
This is a long non-coding RNA of Leucoraja erinaceus (little skate), 566 nucleotides long. RefSeq lists it as uncharacterized. NCBI's taxonomy places the organism in Eukaryota, Metazoa, Chordata, Chondrichthyes, Rajiformes, Rajidae. The record is from RefSeq and is a predicted model, not a curated record. The transcript is spliced from 3 exons.